This 301-nucleotide ribosomal RNA is filed under the name uncultured bacterium. RNAcentral describes it as "partial 16S ribosomal RNA". It matches the Rfam family "Bacterial small subunit ribosomal RNA", at positions 509 to 809 of the family's 1533-position model. The record is from RNAcentral.
CAGCAGCCGCGGGAAUACGAAGGGUGCAAGCGUUAACCGGAAUUACUGGGCGUAAAGCGUGCGUAGGCGGUUUGUUAAGUCUGCUGUGAAAUCCCCGGGCUCAACCUGGGAAUGGCAGUGGAUACUGGCAAGCUAGAGUGUGUCAGAGGAUGGUGGAAUUCCCGGUGUAGCGGUGAAAUGCGUAGAGAUCGGGAGGAACAUCAGUGGCGAAGGCGACUCUCUGGUCUGUAACUGACGCUGAGGAGCGAAAGCGUGGGGAGCAAACAGGAUUAGAUACCCCGGUAGUCCCUGUCUCUUAUAA